RNAcentral lists this ribosomal RNA (497 nucleotides) under uncultured bacterium. RNAcentral describes it as "partial 16S ribosomal RNA". It matches the Rfam family "Bacterial small subunit ribosomal RNA", at positions 28 to 507 of the family's 1533-position model. The record is from RNAcentral.
GAUGAACGCUGGCGGCGUGCCUAAUACAUGCAAGUCGAACGAACGGACGAUAAGCUUGUUCCCCUGAUGUUAGCGACGGACGGGUGAGUAACACGUGGAUAACCUACUUCUUAGUCUGGGAUAAUUUCGUGAAACCGGUGAUAAUAACACAUCAUAUUACGAACCGCUUGGUUCAAAGGUGAUAGACGCUCUUGCCGUCACUUUUAGCUGAAUCCGCGUUGCAUUAGCUAGUUGGUAAGGUAACGGCUUACCAAGGCAACGAUGCAUAGCCGACCUGAGAGGGUGAUCGGCCACACUGGAACUGAGACACGGUCCAGACUCCUACGGGAGGCAGCAGUAGGGAAUCUUCCGCAAUGGGCGAAAGCCUGACGGAGCAACGCCGCGUGAGUGAUGAAGGUCUUCGGAUCGUAAAACUCUGUUAUUAGGGAAGAACAUAUGUGUAAGUAACUGUGCGCAUCUUGACGGUACCUAAUCAGAAAGCCACGGCUAACUACGUG